Molecule: ribosomal RNA, 245 nt
Filed under: uncultured bacterium
Lineage: Bacteria
Description: partial 16S ribosomal RNA
Rfam family: Bacterial small subunit ribosomal RNA
Source: RNAcentral
AACGUAGGAGGCAAGCGUUAUCCGGAUUUACUGGGCGUAAAGCGCAUGCAGGCGGUUUGGAAAGUUGGAUGUGAAAGCUCCUGGCUUAACCGGGAGAGGUCGUUCAAUACUUCCAGGCUAGAGGAUGUGAGAGGAGAGUGGAAUUCCGAGUGUAGUGGUGAAAUGCGUAGAUAUUCGGAGGAACACCAGUGGCGAAAGCGGCUCUCUGGCACAUUUCUGACGCUCAUAUGCGAAAGCUAGGGUAG